This 2923-nucleotide ribosomal RNA is filed under the name uncultured Olsenella sp. RNAcentral describes it as "Bacterial large subunit ribosomal RNA". It matches the Rfam family "Bacterial large subunit ribosomal RNA". The record is from RNAcentral. Lineage: Bacteria; Bacillati; Actinomycetota; Coriobacteriia; Coriobacteriales; Atopobiaceae.
AAGAUGUUAAGGGCAGGCGGCGGAUGCCUUGGCACAGGAAGCCGAAGAAGGGCGCGGCAAGCUGCGAUAAUCCGCGGUGAGGGGCACACACCCGACGACCCGCGGGCACCCGAAUGGGAGAACCCCGCCCGGCGAGAGCCGGGCGACCCCGCACCUGAACACAUAGGGCGCGGGGGGGCAACCGGGGGAACUGAAACAUCUAAGUACCCCGAGGAAGAGAAAUCAAAUCGAGAUUCCCCUAGUAGUGGCGAGCGAACGGGGACCUAGGGCAAACCUGGGAGGGCCUAGCCCCCCAGGGGUCGUGGGACCGUCCAUCAGUCCGGUUACAAAGGCGAAGCGAAGCGGAACGGCAUGGGAAGGCCGGCGGAACAGGGUUAGAGCCCCGUACGCGGAUCGCAUCGCCCCGGCGAGACGGCACCCGAGUACCGCCGGGCACGUGAAACCCGGUGGGAAGCUGGGGGGUCCACCCUCCAACCCUGAAUACUCUCCUGUGACCGAUAGCGCACCAGUACCGCGAGGGAAAGGUGAAAAGCACCCCGGGAGGGGAGUGAAACAGUACCUGAAACCGCCUGCCUACAAGCAGUCGGAGCACCUUUUCAGGUGUGACGGCGUGCCUUUUGUAGAAUGAGCCAGCGAGUUGCGGGGCGCGGCGAGGUUAAGGGAUGACCGAGCCGCAGCGAAAGCGAGUCCGAACAGGGCGUCGAGUCGCGCUCCGCAGACGCGAAGCCGGGUGAGCUACCCACGGGCAGGCUGAAGCGGGGGUAAGACCCCGUGGAGGGCCGAACCCACCUAGGUUGAAAACUGGGGGGAUGACCCGCGGGUAGGAGUGAAAGGCCUAUCAAACCCGGAGAUAUCUCGUUCUCCCCGAAAUAGCUUUAGGGCUAGCCUCGGUCGUUCUCCCUCGGGGGUAGAGCACCGGACGGGCGCGGGGGCCUCACCGCCUACCAAACCCGACCGAACUCCGAAUACCGACGGGAUCAAAGGCCGGGAGUCAGAACAUGUGGGCUAAGCCGUGUGUUCGAGAGGGAAACAGCCCAGACCGCCCGCUAAGGCCCCCAAUUCCAUGUUGAGUGGCAAAGGAUGUGCGUCCGCACAGACAACCAGGAUGUUGGCUUAGAAGCAGCCACCCAUUCAAAGAGUGCGUAAUAGCUCACUGGUCGAGUGGACAUGCGCCGACAAUACACGGGGCUAAGCAUGGAGCCGAAGCGGCGGGAUAGUACAGGGUACUAUCGGUAGGGGAGCUUCCCGUGCGCGGGGAAGCCGGGGGACGACCCCCGGUGGAGCGCCCGGGAGUGAGGAUGCUGGCAUGAGUAGCGAGAGACCGGUGGGAAACCGGUCCGCCGUGAACCCAAGGUUUCCGGGGCGAGGCUAAUCCGCCCCGGGUCAGUCGGGAGCUAAGGCGAGGGCGGCAGCCGUAGCCGAUGCGCAGCCGGUCGACAUUCCGGCACCCCCGACGGGCGCUUGACCGAUGGGGCGACGCAGGAGGGUAGCCGGACGGGGUUCUGGACGUCCCCGCGAUGGCCCGUAGGGCGGCUCCUCGUGAAACGCGGGAGCCGAGAAGCCUGAGGGGCCGGACGAAGCCGUCAGGCGAAGCCGGUGAGCCCACGCUGCCUAGAAAAACCCCUAGGGAGCCCGGAGGGGCCCGUACCGCAAACCGACACAGGUGGGUGGGUAGAGCAUACCGAGGCGAUCGGGAGAACCAUGGUUAAGGAACUCGGCAAAAUCGCCCCGUAACUUCGGGAGAAGGGGCGCCGCGGAGGGUGAAGGGGCCUGCCCCCGGAGCCUUCCCCGGCCGCAGCGAAUUGGUCCAAGCGACUGUUUACCAAAAACACAGGACUCUGCUGAAGCCGCAAGGCGACGUAUAGGGUCUGACGCCUGCCCGGUGCCGGAAGGUCACGAGGAGCGGUCAGCGCAAGCGAAGCCGCGAAUCCAAGCCCCGGUAAACGGCGGCCGUAACUAUAACGGUCCUAAGGUAGCGAAAUUCCUUGUCGGGUAAGUUCCGACCUGCACGAAAGGCGCAACGACUUGGGCGCUGUCUCGACCAUGGACCCGGUGAAAUUGCACUAGUCGUGAAGAUGCGACUUACCCGCGGAAGGACGGAAAGACCCCGUGAACCUUUACUGCAGCUUGGCAUUGGCUGCCGGGGCGCCGUGUAGAGGAUAGGUGGGAGACCGCGAUGCGGGGGCGCCAGCCCCCGCGGAGUCGCCCUUGGAAUACCACCCUCGGCGCCUUGGCAUCCUAACCUGCGGCCGUGACCCGGCGCAGGGACCGUGCCAGGUGGGUAGUUUGACUGGGGCGGUCGCCUCCCAAAGAGUAACGGAGGCGCACGUAAGGUCUGCUCAGGGCGGUCGGCAACCGCCCCACCGAGUGCAAGAGCAUAAGCAGGCUUGACUGCGAGGCAGACACGCCGAGCAGAUGGGAAACCAGGUUCUAGUGAUCCGGCGGCGCAGAGUGGUAUGGCCGUCGCUCAACGGAUAAAAGGUACUCCGGGGAUAACAGGCUGAUCUUCCCCAAGAGUCCACAUCGACGGGAAGGUUUGGCACCUCGAUGUCGGCUCAUCGCAUCCUGGGGCUGGAGCAGGUCCCAAGGGUACGGCUGUUCGCCGUUUAAAGCGGUACGCGAGCUGGGUUCAGAACGUCGUGAGACAGUUCGGUCCCUAUCCUCCGUGGGCGCAGGAAGACUGAGGGAGGCUGCCCCUAGUACGAGAGGACCGGGGUGGACGGACCUCCGGUGCGCGGGUUGUUCGCCAAGAGCAUCGCCCGGUAGCCGAGUCCGGCAGGGAUAACCGCUGAAAGCAUCUAAGCGGGAAGCCCUUCCCGAGAUGAGUCUUCCUUCUGGUAAGGACACAGGCAGACUACCUGUUGGAUAGGCCGCAGGCGCAAGUGGGGCGACCCACUCAACCGAGCGGUACUAAUCGUCCGAG